GUGUGAUAGAAGGAUAGCAAACGCCACAAAUAAACAAAUUUUAUGUGACCAAAUAAUAUAGAAUAGCCACACGUAUGUAUCUAAACUUUUAAUAAUUUUCAUAACUAUUCCCACCUCUUACCAGUUCCUGGUUCCAAUUCGAGAAGAUCAGAUCGACUAUGUGAAUCCCUUUUAUCUAUGUGAUUAGCGUUAGUUUCUCAAACAUGUAUGUGUCAUUUUCUAUUCCCUCCGUACCAGAGAUGAGUUCGGCUUCCAAAUUGUUCGAUUAUAAGAGUUUUAGAUCUGCAGAAUUGAGUUCGAGUGAAGCAAAUCUGAGGUGAAUUUCCGGUGAUCCUGCCUCGUAUUGCGACCAGAAAAGGCACCACACUGAGGACAGUGAUGUUAACUCUUUUAGGGACUCAAGUAGUGAUGUAAGCAGUGAUUACAACCUCCCAAAGAGUGAAUUUUUUCAGUGGUUGGAUCAGUUGUCGUUAAAUUACCAACACGUCCUUCAAGAAGGCUUCUCUAGUGAUGAGGGUGAAUCAGUAAGACUACAAAGUUGUCUUUCAUUUGAGUAUUUGGAGUGUAAUCAACCUUGGGGUCGGGAACCUUUGAUUGAUUAGAUACUUGAUCUUGUGCGUCGCUUCAUAGACUUGAAAAGCGUGAAAAGUUGUGACUUGUUUUCUUCUAGUUGGUUAUCUGUGGCUUGGUACCCAAUUUAUAGGAGUCCAAUGGGACCAACAUUGAAAGAUCUUAAUGCUGUUUUUUACCUUUCAUUCUCUUCAUACACCAAUCACAGGCUAUGGAUAUUUUCACAACCUCUUCGGCUAAGAGCAUUCGGUUGAAGGUGGCUGGGUUUGGCGGGGCGAAACGGACCUGCAGAAGUAUCAUUGGAACAACUGGGUCACUCGUAAAGUGAACUACCUAACAUGGAGGGCUGUGUUGGGGACGGGGUGUAUCGCUACUAAAGAAGCUUUGACGUGAAGAGGUUUGGCUUUAGAUAACACUCUUUGCGGCAGGUGUGAGCUGGUAAUUGAAGAUGUGAAUCACAUUUUUGUCGAUUGUUUAUCGGCUAGAAGUGUGUGGUGGCAAAUCUGUAGAUGGACUAAGGAUCAACCACAUUAUUUGUCACCUAUAUUAUAUAUUUAUAUCGAGUGGAAUUGCUUAAUGUUUUACUUGCUUCGUAAAAGUUGCAGUAUAAGCUUUUUCACUAGUAUAAGAAUGUUUUCACUAAUAAAAGAUAAAUUAUCAGCAUUCAUUUGUUAAGAUAUAUUUAUACAUAUGAUAGUUUAAGUGAGAAAUAAAUAUAUCAAUGUUAAAGUUUGUUUAUUUUAGUUGUAU
This 1320-nucleotide long non-coding RNA is filed under the name Helianthus annuus (common sunflower). RNAcentral describes it as "hypothetical non coding rna". The record is from RNAcentral. Lineage: Eukaryota; Viridiplantae; Streptophyta; Magnoliopsida; Asterales; Asteraceae.